RNAcentral lists this ribosomal RNA (465 nucleotides) under uncultured bacterium. Its description in RNAcentral is "partial 16S ribosomal RNA". It matches the Rfam family "Bacterial small subunit ribosomal RNA", at positions 338 to 795 of the family's 1533-position model. The record is from RNAcentral.
CCUACGGGAGGCAGCAGUAGGGAAUCUUCCACAAUGGGCGAAAGCCUGAUGGAGCAACGCCGCGUGGGUGAAGAAGGUCUUCGGAUCGUAAAACCCUGUUGUUAGAGAAGAAAGUGCGUGAGAGUAACUGUUCACGUUUCGACGGUAUCUAACCAGAAAGCCACGGCUAACUACGUGCCAGCAGCCGCGGUAAUACGUAGGUGGCAAGCGUUAUCCGGAUUUAUGGGGCGUAAAGGGAACGCAGGCGUUCUUUUAAGUCUGAUUUGAAAGCCUUCGGCUUAACCGGAGUAGUGCAUUGGAAACUGGGAGACUUGAGUGCAGAAGAGGAGAGUGGAACUCCAUGUGUAGCGGUGAAAUGCGUAGAUAUAUGGAAGAACACCAGUGGCGAAAGCGGCUCUCUGGUCUGUAACUGACGCUGAGGUUCGAAAGCGUGGGUAGCAAACAGGAUUAGAUACCCUUGUAGUC